RNAcentral lists this non-coding RNA (23 nucleotides) under Arabidopsis thaliana (thale cress). The record is from RNAcentral. Lineage: Eukaryota; Viridiplantae; Streptophyta; Magnoliopsida; Brassicales; Brassicaceae.
GGGUGUUGGUCGAUUAAGACAGC